Molecule: ribosomal RNA, 253 nt
Filed under: uncultured bacterium
Lineage: Bacteria
Description: partial 16S ribosomal RNA
Rfam family: Bacterial small subunit ribosomal RNA
Source: RNAcentral
UACGUAGGGGGCAAGCGUUGUCCGGAAUCAUUGGGCUUAAAGCGCUUGUAGGCGUUUCGUUAAGUGGGUGGUGAAAGUCCAGGGCUCAACCCUGGGAUGCCGGUCGAUACUGCCGGACUAGAGUUCGGAAGAGGCGAGUGGAAUUCCCGGUGUAGCGGUGAAAUGCGCAGAUAUCGGGAGGAACACCUGUGGUGUAGACAGCUUACUGGACCACGACUGACGCUGAGACACGAAAGCGUGGGUAGCAAACAGG